AACACGGACCAAGGAGUCUAGCAUGUGCGCGAGUCAUUGGGAAUCACUAAACCUAAAGGCGCAAUGAAAGUGAAGGUCCGCCUCGCGCGGACCGAGGGAAGAUGGGCGUGCUCGCGUUCUCGCGGCCGCCCCGCACUCCCGGGGCGUCUCGUUCUCAUCGCGAGAGGAGGCGCACCAGGAGCGUACACGCUGGGACCCGAAAGAUGGUGAACUAUGCCUGGUCAGGACGAAGUCAGGGGAAACCCUGAUGGAGGUCCGUAGCGAUUCUGACGUGCAAAUCGAUCGUCGGAACUGGGUAUAGGGGCGAAAGACUAAUCGAACCUUCUAGUAGCUGGUUCCCUCCGAAGUUUCCCUCAGGAUAGCUGGCGCUCGUCGCCUACGAGUCUCAUCCGGUAAAGCGAAUGAUUAGAGGCAUUGGGGUCGAAACGGCCUCAACCUAUUCUCAAACUUUAAAUGGGUGAGAUCUCCGGCUUGCUCGAACUAUUGAAGCCGCGAGACACGGAUCAGAGUGCCAAGUGGGCCAUUUUUGGUAAGCAGAACUGGCGCUGUGGGAUGAACCAAACGUAGAGUUAAAGCGCCUAAAUCGACGCUUAUGGGAUACCAUGAAAGGCGUUGGUAACUUAAGACAGCAGGACGGUGGCCAUGGAAGUCGGAAUCCG
RNAcentral lists this ribosomal RNA (659 nucleotides) under Allochotes sp. G0147. RNAcentral describes it as "partial 28S large subunit ribosomal RNA". It matches the Rfam family "Eukaryotic large subunit ribosomal RNA", at positions 658 to 1270 of the family's 3401-position model. The record is from RNAcentral. Lineage: Eukaryota; Metazoa; Arthropoda; Insecta; Coleoptera; Cleridae.